UCGUAACAAGGUUUCCGUAGGUGAACCUGCGGAAGGAUCAUUACCGAGUGAGGGCCCUCUGGGUCCAACCUCCCACCCGUGUUUAUUUUACCUUGUUGCUUCGGCGGGCCCGCCUUUACUGGCCGCCGGGGGGCUCACGCCCCCGGGCCCGCGCCCGCCGAAGACACCCUCGAACUCUGUCUGAAGAUUGAAGUCUGAGUGAAAAUAUAAAUUAUUUAAAACUUUCAACAACGGAUCUCUUGGUUCCGGCAUCGAUGAAGAACGCAGCGAAAUGCGAUACGUAAUGUGAAUUGCAAAUUCAGUGAAUCAUCGAGUCUUUGAACGCACAUUGCGCCCCCUGGUAUUCCGGGGGGCAUGCCUGUCCGAGCGUCAUUGCUGCCCUCAAGCCCGGCUUGUGUGUUGGGCCCCGUCCUCCGAUUCCGGGGGACGGGCCCGAAAGGCAGCGGCGGCACCGCGUCCGGUCCUCGAGCGUAUGGGGCUUUGUCACCCGCUCUGUAGGCCCGGCCGGCGCUUGCCGAUCAACCCAAAUUUUUAUCCAGGUUGACCUCGGAUCAGGUAGGGAUACCCGCUGAACCU
RNAcentral lists this unclassified non-coding RNA (576 nucleotides) under Penicillium allii. Its description in RNAcentral is "sequence contains 18S rRNA gene, ITS1, 5.8S rRNA gene, ITS2, 28S rRNA gene". The stretch from base 220 to 372 matches the Rfam family "5.8S ribosomal RNA". Lineage: Eukaryota; Fungi; Ascomycota; Eurotiomycetes; Eurotiales; Aspergillaceae. The record is from RNAcentral.